This 360-nucleotide small RNA is filed under the name Histoplasma ohiense. RNAcentral's name for it is "hypothetical lncRNA". Lineage: Eukaryota; Fungi; Ascomycota; Eurotiomycetes; Onygenales; Ajellomycetaceae. The record is from RNAcentral.
GCACCUGCUCAUUUCUGGCUGUUGUGACCUCAUGUAACCCUCAACAUUCUUCUGCUCUGUGUUCCAUGCUCACAUAGUCUCUAACAAUUCUUCUGUGUAGCCUUCAAUGAUUCUCCCACCCCACACUCUGCACUCAUAUAGUCUCUAACAAUUCUUCUGUGUAGCCUUCAAUGAUUCUUCUGCCCCACACUCCACACUCAUAUAGUUUCUAACAAUUCUUCCAUGUAGCCCUCAAUGAUUCUCCCACCUCACACUCUGUGCUCAUGUAGUCUCUAACAAUUCUUCCAUGUAGUCUUCAAUGAUUCUCUCAUUCCACACUUCACACUUAUAUAGUUUCUAACAAUUCUUUCAUAUAGCUCU